GGACAGUGAUGUUCAGGACGGGGA
RNAcentral lists this non-coding RNA (24 nucleotides) under Arabidopsis thaliana (thale cress). Lineage: Eukaryota; Viridiplantae; Streptophyta; Magnoliopsida; Brassicales; Brassicaceae. The record is from RNAcentral.